RNAcentral lists this ribosomal RNA (263 nucleotides) under uncultured archaeon. RNAcentral describes it as "partial 16S ribosomal RNA". It matches the Rfam family "Archaeal small subunit ribosomal RNA", at positions 748 to 1008 of the family's 1478-position model. The record is from RNAcentral.
CAGCCCUAAACGAUGCGCGUUAGGUGUAUCGGUGACCACGAGUCAUCGAGGUGCCGAAGGGAAACCGUGAAACGUGCCGCCUGGGAAGUACGGUCGCAAGGCUGAAACUUAAAGGAAUUGGCGGGGGGAGGCACCACAACGGGUGGAGCCUGCGGUUUAAUUGGACUCAACGCCGGGAAGCUUACCGGAUAAGACAGCGGAAUGAUUGCCGGGCUGAAGACCCUGCAUGACCAGCUGAGAGGAGGUGCAUGGCGUCAGUGACU